UGAGGAAUAUUGGUCAAUGGGCGAGAGCCUGAACCAGCCAAGUCGCGUGAAGGAAGACAGUCCUAAGGAUUGUAAACUUCUUUUAUACGGGAAUAACGGGCGAUACGAGUAUUGCAUUGAAUGUACCGUAAGAAUAAGCAUCGGCUAACUCCGUGCCAGCAGCCGCGGUAAUACGGAGGAUGCGAGCGUUAUCCGGAUUUAUUGGGUUUAAAGGGUGCGUAGGUUGUUCGGUAAGUCAGCGGUGAAACCUGAGCGCUCAACGUUCAGCCUGCCGUUGAAACUGCCGGGCUUGAGUUCAGUGGCGGCAGGCGGAAUUCGGGGUGUAGCGGUGAAAUGCAUAGAUAUCACGAGGAACUCCGAUUGCGAAGGCAGCUUGCCAUACUGCGACUGACACUGAAGCACGAAGGCGUGGGUAUCAAACAGG
RNAcentral lists this ribosomal RNA (424 nucleotides) under Fusobacteriota bacterium. RNAcentral describes it as "Fusobacteria bacterium partial 16S ribosomal RNA". It matches the Rfam family "Bacterial small subunit ribosomal RNA", at positions 355 to 776 of the family's 1533-position model. The record is from RNAcentral. Lineage: Bacteria; Fusobacteriati; Fusobacteriota.